GGGCCUCUAGCUCAAUCGGUUAGAGCUGCGGACUUUUAAUCCGUAGGUUGUGGGUUCGAGUCCCACGGGGCCCACC
This 76-nucleotide transfer RNA is filed under the name Barrientosiimonas humi. Its description in RNAcentral is "tRNA-Lys". It matches the Rfam family "tRNA". Rfam says of the family: Transfer RNA (tRNA) molecules are approximately 80 nucleotides in length. Their secondary structure includes four short double-helical elements and three loops (D, anti-codon, and T loops). RNAcentral also lists the same sequence under 1 other name. Lineage: Bacteria; Bacillati; Actinomycetota; Actinomycetes; Micrococcales; Dermacoccaceae. The record is from RNAcentral.